GUGAGGAAGCUAACUUCAGGAGAUGAGAUAUAGCUUAUAACAACACGCUUUGAUAUUGCUAUAAUAUAGUUUCUCAUGCUAAGAUUGUGUUGGGUGUAGAACAUGUCAUGCUGCAUUUAUUUNUAUAGUUUCUCAUGCUAAGAUUGUGUUGGGUGUAGAACAUGUCAUGCUGCAUUUAUUUUUUUUAAAAAAAAAAAACAUUGAAAUUAGUUGUAUAGUUAAUUGAAAGAGGAAUUUACAAGAAGGUUUAUUAGUGAUUAGUGUAAGAGAUCAC
Molecule: long non-coding RNA, 274 nt
Filed under: Ananas comosus (pineapple)
Lineage: Eukaryota; Viridiplantae; Streptophyta; Magnoliopsida; Poales; Bromeliaceae
Description: long non-coding RNA (ACOM_LNC029925)
Source: RNAcentral